RNAcentral lists this ribosomal RNA (253 nucleotides) under uncultured bacterium. RNAcentral describes it as "partial 16S ribosomal RNA". It matches the Rfam family "Bacterial small subunit ribosomal RNA", at positions 524 to 776 of the family's 1533-position model. The record is from RNAcentral.
UACGAAGGGUGCAAGCGUUACUCGGAAUUACUGGGCGUAAAGCGUGCGUAGGUGGUUCGUUAAGUCUGUCGUGAAAGCCCCGGGCUCAACCUGGGAAUGGCGAUGGAUACUGGCGGGCUAGAGUGCGGUAGAGGAGAGUGGAAUUCCCGGUGUAGCAGUGAAAUGCGUAGAGAUCGGGAGGAACAUCAGUUGCGAAGGCGGCUCUCUGGACCAGCACUGACACUGAGGAGCGAAAGCCAGGGGAGCAAACGGG